This 253-nucleotide ribosomal RNA is filed under the name uncultured bacterium. RNAcentral's name for it is "partial 16S ribosomal RNA". It matches the Rfam family "Bacterial small subunit ribosomal RNA", at positions 524 to 776 of the family's 1533-position model. The record is from RNAcentral.
UACGAAGGGUGCAAGCGUUACUCGGAAUUACUGGGCGUAAAGCGUGCGUAGGUGGUGAGUUAAGUCUGUCGUGAAAGCCCCGGGCUCAACCUGGGAAUGGCGAUGGAUACUGGCUCGCUAGAGUUCGGUAGGGGAGACUGGAAUUCCUGGUGUAGCGGUGAAAUGCGCAGAUAUCAGGAGGAACACCGGUGGCGAAGGCGGGUCUCUGGGCCGAUACUGACGCUGAGGAGCGAAAGCGUGGGGAGCGAACAGG